This 492-nucleotide ribosomal RNA is filed under the name uncultured bacterium. RNAcentral's name for it is "partial 16S ribosomal RNA". It matches the Rfam family "Bacterial small subunit ribosomal RNA", at positions 29 to 507 of the family's 1533-position model. The record is from RNAcentral.
AGUGAACGCUGGCGGUAGGCCUAACACAUGCAAGUCGAACGGCAGCACAGAAAGAGCUUGCUCUUACGGGUGGCGAGUGGCGGACGGGUGAGGAAUACAUCGGAAUCUACUUUUUCGUGGGGGAUAACGUAGGGAAACUUACGCUAAUACCGCAUACGACCUACGGGUGAAAGCAGGGGAUCUUCGGACCUUGCGCGAUUGAAUGAGCCGAUGUCGGAUUAGCUAGUUGGCGGGGUAAAGGCCCACCAAGGCGACGAUCCGUAGCUGGUCUGAGAGGAUGAUCAGCCACACUGGAACUGAGACACGGUCCAGACUCCUACGGGAGGCAGCAGUGGGGAAUAUUGGACAAAGGGCGCAAGCCUGAUCCAGCCAUACCGCGUGGGUGAAGAAGGCCUUCGGGUUGUAAAGCCCUUUUGUUGGGAAAGAAAAGCAGCAGGUUAAUACCCCGCUGUUCUGACGGUACCCAAAGAGUAAGCACCGGCUAACUUCGUG